This 383-nucleotide ribosomal RNA is filed under the name bacterium enrichment culture DGGE gel band MC8. Its description in RNAcentral is "bacterial SSU rRNA". It matches the Rfam family "Bacterial small subunit ribosomal RNA", at positions 959 to 1342 of the family's 1533-position model. The record is from RNAcentral.
ACGCGAAGAACCUUACCUACUCUUGACAUCCAGAGAACUUAGCAGAGAUGCUUUGGUGCCUUCGGGAACUCUGAGACAGGUGCUGCAUGGCUGUCGUCAGCUCGUGUUGUGAAAUGUUGGGUUAAGUCCCGCAACGAGCGCAACCCUUAUCCUUUGUUGCCAGCGGUCCGGCCGGGAACUCAAAGGAGACUGCCAGUGAUAAACUGGAGGAAGGUGGGGAUGACGUCAAGUCAUCAUGGCCCUUACGAGUAGGGCUACACACGUGCUACAAUGGCGCAUACAAAGAGAAGCGAACUCGCGAGAGCAAGCGGACCUCAUAAAGUGCGUCGUAGUCCGGAUUGGAGUCUGCAACUCGACUCCAUGAAGUCGGAAUCGCUAGUAAU